AAGCAAAAGAUGAAAAGAACAAAGACGAAAAUAUAUAUUUUUACAAGAGUGAGGAGAUUCCUCUCAAAAUCAAAUCACGGAAGUACCAAAGGACAAAACUUCUUGACUGAGGGAAUGAACAUAAAGGGCUGAAGGUUAUUUUGUUCAAGUUUUGUUCCCAAUUGUGAUAGGGUAGGUCUGCAGUAUACACUAAAAUAGAGGUGAAUACUGGAGAAUAAUAGUGAGAAGUGAAGAAAAUGUUGAGAACAAAAGAUUAAAGAAGCAAAGAUACUGGGAAAGUUGGGAAAAGCCAGAAAUCAAAUGGAGAAGAGACACUACUACUACAAGGACAAAUCUUCAAUGUACUAAACUCUAAUAUGACCAAAAAUGAUAAUAAAAGAGAAGCAAAUUCUGAUUAAAAUGCUGCAACUAUCUAUAAUCAAUUUUUCCAAUUACAUGUGUUUGGUAAAUGAUUACUUAUUUAUUGUAUAAGAUGAUGUAUUGACCCAAUAAGCGUGUUAAUAUAGAAGUAGGUCUUGUUGGUGUUUUGAAAAUAGAGAAUGAAAUAACUUCGUUAAUGUACUCUCAAUCAUUUGAUAUGUUGAUCACUGUAUAUGU
Long non-coding RNA from Vigna unguiculata (cowpea), 597 nucleotides. RefSeq lists it as uncharacterized. The record is from RefSeq and is a predicted model, not a curated record. Lineage: Eukaryota; Viridiplantae; Streptophyta; Magnoliopsida; Fabales; Fabaceae.